AUCAGGUAGGGAUACCCGCUGAACUUAAGCAUAUCAAUAAGCGGAGGAAAAGAAACUAACAAGGAUUCCCUCAGUAAGGGCGACUGAAGCGGGAAGAGCCCAUGUUGCCAAGCCUUCGGGCGUUGUAGCAUGCGUGACUUGUGCAGGACCAGGAGUAAGUCCCUUGGAACAGGGUAUCAGAGAGGGUGACAGUCCCGUCUGUCUCUUGGUCUUUUGCAUCUGAAGUCCGUGUAACGGAGUCGAGUUGUUUGGGAUUGCAGCUCAAAGCUGGUGGUAAAUUCCAUCUAAGGCUAAAUACGGGUGGGAGACCGAUAGCGAACAAGUACUGUGAAGGAAAGAUGAAAAGAACUUUGAAAAGAGAGUUA
RNAcentral lists this ribosomal RNA (365 nucleotides) under Tryblionella compressa. RNAcentral describes it as "partial Eukaryotic large subunit ribosomal RNA". It matches the Rfam family "Eukaryotic large subunit ribosomal RNA", at positions 10 to 390 of the family's 3401-position model. Lineage: Eukaryota; Bacillariophyta; Bacillariophyceae; Bacillariales; Bacillariaceae. The record is from RNAcentral.